RNAcentral lists this long non-coding RNA (200 nucleotides) under Elaeis guineensis (African oil palm). RNAcentral describes it as "long non-coding RNA (EGUI_LNC072316)". The record is from RNAcentral. Lineage: Eukaryota; Viridiplantae; Streptophyta; Magnoliopsida; Arecales; Arecaceae.
CCUCAAAUUCUCAUCAGAGACCUCACUGGAGUCGAACCUCCUUCCUUUCUUCCUUCCCCUCUUUCCUAUGGCUUCAUGCACCCUUGCGGACUGUCAGGUUCGUCAAAAAAUCCACAAAACCAUGAGGCCCUAUUUUGCUCUGUUCGAUCGAGCCUUCUCUUGUUUCUGACCACCGACACUACUGCCUAUGGUGUCGCACC